GGAGGAUUGAUUGAGCUCAGGAGGGUGAGGCUGCAGUGAGCUAUGAUCAUACCACUGCACUCCAGCCUGAGUGACACAGCAAGACCUUGU
This 90-nucleotide microRNA precursor is filed under the name Colobus angolensis palliatus. RNAcentral's name for it is "miRNA (ENSCANG00000012061.1)". The record is from RNAcentral. Lineage: Eukaryota; Metazoa; Chordata; Mammalia; Primates; Cercopithecidae.